UACGGAGGGGGCGAGCGUUAAUCGGAAUUACUGGGCGUAAAGGGCGCGUAGGCGGCGGGUUACGUCUGCCGUGAAAUCCCCGGGCUCAACCUGGGAAUGGCGGUGGAAACGGGCUGGCUGGAGUAUGGGAGAGGGUGAUGGAAUUCCAGGUGUAGCGGUGAAAUGCGUAGAGAUCUGGAGGAACACCAGUGGCGAAGGCGGUCACCUGGCCCAAUACUGACGCUGAGGCGCGAAAGCGUGGGGAGCAAACAGG
Molecule: ribosomal RNA, 253 nt
Filed under: uncultured bacterium
Lineage: Bacteria
Description: partial 16S ribosomal RNA
Rfam family: Bacterial small subunit ribosomal RNA
Source: RNAcentral